RNAcentral lists this long non-coding RNA (439 nucleotides) under Cyanistes caeruleus (blue tit). RNAcentral describes it as "lncRNA (ENSCCEG00000022453.1)". The record is from RNAcentral. Lineage: Eukaryota; Metazoa; Chordata; Aves; Passeriformes; Paridae.
ACUUCACAGUAAAAUCCGUUUUCUUUGCACUUUUUUAUUAACAGCUUCAACUAUGAUCAGUGCAUAAAUCUACCUGCAACACAGGAUGUUGGAAAAUUACCGAGAGACAGCAACGUCCUCCCUGCUGCUUGGUGAGAAAAGAAGGAUGCACCUUCAGUUUAAACACUGGGCUUGGUGAGCACCUCGUGGGAUCCCGAAUGCCGUGUCCAGCGUGCCUCCCAGCCCCUGAGGACAGCAGCUAGGAGACACCCAGGGCUGUGCCUGGAGCCAGCAGCAGCACACAGGCUCAGAGGUGAGCUGGGAGACCGAGCGGGGACAGCCGAACACACGGAGGCACACGGAGAUGGGGACCAGCGCCACGAUGUGCAGCAAAAAGAAAACGAGGAGAAGUACUAUAAAAAAUGAGAGGAAGGCUUAUCUCUAAGCCUGAACAACUCCU